AGGAGCCGUGUGCAUUAAUAGUGCAAGCGCGGUUCUGAGAGGGGUUGUACAACAAUGGGAGCUGAUCAAUCGAU
RNAcentral lists this unclassified non-coding RNA (74 nucleotides) under Bacillus sp. UNCCL81. The record is from RNAcentral. Lineage: Bacteria; Bacillati; Bacillota; Bacilli; Caryophanales; Bacillaceae.